AAUCUCAUUCUCCUUAAUAAAGUAAUAAAUUUAAGAAUGCAAGGCGUAGGUUACGCCCUCUACCGCCCUCUGUCGGAAAUCGGCAGGAAGUCAUCGACCGUGAGUUGUCUGAUCCUGGAUCGGCCUUCCCCGCCAUCUAGCGUGGGAUAGCUGCACUCUUGUAUUCCUUCAUGGACUUACGUGGAUCAUAGUUGCCAUUUUUAAAAAUAGAAGUAAAUCGUCAUCGGGCGUUUGCCUUCCUUCCUUUUAUUCGUAACCAGACUUAAUUAUGUUUUUUUUAAGCUCCGCGUUAAUCGCGAAGAGUUUAGUAUUAUAUUUUUUUUUGUUGACUUAAUUUCGAUUGAACGUCCGGAGCCGGCUGUUCACGGCGCGGGCCGAUUUCGGCUAGCAACACUUGGCUGUCAAAAAUGGCGAUGAUGAGACGAGUUUUCGGUGCCGCAGAAGAAUUGUGAGGGAUCUUUGGUCCUAGUCAAAAUCGGGCGCAAUCGCCCGUUCGACCCCGGAAUCGGACGUUGAUCGAAUUAUGUUCCCUUGAUAUGAGGCGGCGCCAAGCGUGCCCGGGUGUCGAAAUGGGUGCAAUUUUGCCCUCUGCUGGCCCUUUAUCCAUCAACGGGUUCACGCCGCGUCGCCUAAACCUCGCGCCGGCCGCGAGAGCUUCCCCUGGUGUCCCGGUAACUUUCGGGCGGCAGAUUGCUGCCGUGGCAGUUGUGGUGUUUCGAGGUCAGAUCUUUCCACGUUUACUUAUUGACUGAAUGAACCGGCCUUCGGUUCUGGCGCCCUUCCGUGUAACUGCCCUUAAUAUAUAUUGACCGCUGUAUCCGUUUCUACCAGUAAUAAUAAUUUAGAGCUCGCUGACCCACAUUUGUUCCCUUAAAAGUAUAAACCCAACAUUAUUGUUCUCGUGAGCUAGCCCUCGGCCAACAAUUGUUAACGGUACCUAAGAUAACAAACUAGCAUAACCAAUUUAGAUUUUUCUUAAUACAAAUAAAUACCUGGUACCCCUUCAAUGGUUGUUUGAUUUUUUAUUUUUUAUUGUGUCGUCAGCUAAAGGAAACCCCCCAUAAAAUUAAAUAUUGUAACAAUUUAAUUACAUGCAUAGGCAAGCAAAGUACGA
Molecule: long non-coding RNA, 1114 nt
Organism: Leguminivora glycinivorella
Lineage: Eukaryota; Metazoa; Arthropoda; Insecta; Lepidoptera; Tortricidae
Exons: 3
Source: RefSeq, a predicted model, not a curated record